GGCGGACGGGUGGAGUAACGACGUGAGCAAUCUGCCUCCGGUUGCGGGACGAACACAGGGAAACUUGUGCUAAUACCGCAUAAACCGGCAGCACCGCAUGGUGCAACCGGCAAAGAAUUUCGACCGGAGAUGAGCUCGCGUCCGAUUAGAUAGUUGGCGGGGCAACGGCCCACCAAGUCUGCGAUCGGUAGCCGGACUGAGAGGUUGAACGGCCACAUUGGAACUGAGAUACGGUCCAGACUCCUACGGGAGGCAGCAGUGGGGAAUAUUGGGCAAUGGGCGAAAGCCUGACCCAAGCGACGCCGCGUGAAGGAAGAAGGUCUUCGGAUUGUAAACUUCAGUCAACAGGGAAGAUCAUGACGGUACCUGUGGAGGAAGCCACGGCUAACUACGUGCCAGCAGCAGC
RNAcentral lists this ribosomal RNA (406 nucleotides) under uncultured bacterium. RNAcentral describes it as "bacterial SSU rRNA". It matches the Rfam family "Bacterial small subunit ribosomal RNA", at positions 97 to 518 of the family's 1533-position model. The record is from RNAcentral.